This 405-nucleotide small RNA is filed under the name Oreocharis henryana. Its description in RNAcentral is "partial 68 non-coding RNA". The record is from RNAcentral. Lineage: Eukaryota; Viridiplantae; Streptophyta; Magnoliopsida; Lamiales; Gesneriaceae.
AGCAGCGAGUGGCUAAUAUAUUAUCAGGCAAUUACUGCCAACCUAAGUGCGCAGAGCCGUGUGUGGAGGUAAAGUUUGAGGACGAAAAACAAGGAAAAAUUCAGGUGUUGGCUUCACCUUUGAUACGCCUUACUAAUAAACACGAUGCAACAAUCGAAGAGAUAGGUACCCCAGAGAAAGUCAUUGCUUCUCUUGGCCCUUUUGUCACCGGAAAUUCAUAUGAUCCCGAUGAACUACUCGAGACUUUUGUCGUACUCAUUUUCAGUUUCCAUGUUUAUGACUGAUCUUUUGGAAACUUAAACGCACAGUACUAUAAAUAUGUUCUGGGGGAGACUCCAUUUGCUCUCACGGGAUCACACAAUCUUGCUAAGGCGACAGCGAAAGGAAGCACGGUCGUCCUUUUUG